CCUACGGGAGGCAGCAGUGGGGAAUAUUGGGCAAUGGGCGCAAGCCUGACCCAGCAACGCCGCGUGAAGGAAGAAGGCCCUCGGGUUGUAAACCUUUUUUAUUAGGGACGAAGAAGUGACGGUACCUGAUGAAUAAGCCACGGCUAACUACGUGCCAGCAGCCGCGGUAAUACGUAGGUGGCGAGCGUUAUCCGGAUUUACUGGGUGUAAAGGGCGUGUAGGCGGGGAAGCAAGUCAGAUGUGAAAUUCCAGGGCUCAACCCUGGAACUGCAAUUGAUACUGGUUGUAUUGAGUGAAGGAGAGGCAGGCGGAAUUCCGUGUGUAGCGGUGAAAUGCGUAGAUAUACGGAAGAACACCGGUGGCGAAGGCGGCCUGCUAGACAUUAACUGACGCUGAGGCGCGAAAGCGUGGGGAGCAAACAGGAUUAGAUACCCGGGUAGUC
Molecule: ribosomal RNA, 442 nt
Filed under: uncultured bacterium
Lineage: Bacteria
Description: partial 16S ribosomal RNA
Rfam family: Bacterial small subunit ribosomal RNA
Source: RNAcentral